Molecule: long non-coding RNA, 477 nt
Organism: Capsicum annuum
Lineage: Eukaryota; Viridiplantae; Streptophyta; Magnoliopsida; Solanales; Solanaceae
Exons: 2
Source: RefSeq, a predicted model, not a curated record
UAAAGUCAUUUUACUCAUUAUUACCUACUAUAUAUCUUUCAUAAUAAAGUCUAUAAAUUAAACUGCAAAACUCAAACAUUGAACCUCACCAAUCUUCAUCAAUAGACGCAGAACUAAGAUUUUAAGUUUAUGGGUUCUGAAUUCAAGUAAAGAUAUACAAAGUUUGAGCCAAAGUUGCUGAAUUCUGCCGAACCUGAUCAUCAUCAUUAGAAGACGAAUAGGAAGAGGAAGAACUAUGGUAGCUCACAGCGAUCGAGCAAAUCCAUCAGAAACCGUAGCAUGUCAUUCAUCGUCAAUGAUAUACAUUUUCCUUUUGAUGGCAUUUAACAUUUUCGGGACAAUCUAUAGAGCGUAUAUUCACGAGCAGUAUUCACUCUUAGCUUUCAUCUUAUUCGUAUAUAUCACCUUCUUUUUACUAGUGUAUCUCUCGUAUGUAUAUCGUGGUUUUUCAUCGAAGGAAAAGUCAUUGCAUAAGGA